This is a transfer RNA of 76 nucleotides. It matches the Rfam family "tRNA". Rfam says of the family: Transfer RNA (tRNA) molecules are approximately 80 nucleotides in length. Their secondary structure includes four short double-helical elements and three loops (D, anti-codon, and T loops).
GGACUUGUAGCUCAGUUGGCAGAGCACCGGACAUCUAAUCCGGGGGGCGAUGGUUCGAACCCAUCCGAGUCCACCA